This 7196-nucleotide small RNA is filed under the name Pan troglodytes (chimpanzee). RNAcentral describes it as "retained intron". Lineage: Eukaryota; Metazoa; Chordata; Mammalia; Primates; Hominidae. The record is from RNAcentral.
CAUGAAAAAGCGGCGGCGGCGGGAGAGAGGAGGAGGCGGCGGCGGGGCAGUGAAACUACGGUAGCUGCCCCCUGAGCUGGUGGUGUGGCUUUGUUGGGAGGGCGUAGUUCCUAAUCCCCUUUCCGGGCAGCCGCCGGGGCUCGGGGCUGUGAGCGGCCGUCAGGCUGCCUCCCCGGGCCCCCUGCCUCCGCCAUGUUCCGCAGGGCACGCCUUAGCGUGAAGCCGAAUGUCAGGCCUGGUGUAGGCACCAGGGGCUCCACAGCUUCCAAUCCCCAGCGUGGACGGGAGUCUCCCAGGCCGCCGGAGCCUGCCACGGACUCUGCUUCCAAGCCCGCGGAGCCCACAGAUGUGCCCACAGUCGAUUUCGGUGGAGCGGAGCCCCAAGAAAAGACUCCUAGGAGCAGUACUGAAAAGACUGGUGGUGACAAUGAUGUUGAAGAAUCCAGUAGAUCUUCCUCUACUGUUUCACAGAGAAGAAAGCGAAUAUCAAGUACUUCUAGUCUGGUUAAGUCUAGUGUCAGUGUUCCUUCAGAAUCUCAUCCCUUACCUACAAUUAAUCAAGAGGCUCCACAGCCAACUGCCACUUCAACAAAAGAGAAACAGCCAUGCUCAGACAGAUACCGAAUAUACAAAGCCCAGAAACUGAGGGAAAUGUUAAAAGAAGAAUUGAGAAAAGAGAAGAAACAAUGGAAAAACAAAUAUGCUAUAAAUGAAAGUCAGAGGCCACCAGAUCGUUCAAAAAUGACUAUGAGAGACUUCAUAUAUUAUCUACCAGAUAAUAAUCCAAUGACUUCUUCACUGGAACAAGAAAAGAAAACUGAAAAGCCAUCGACUCCAGUCCAGACAAGAGAGCAAGAAGGUAAGAGUACUCCUAAUGCUGAAGAUAAUGAAAUGGAAGAAGAGACAGAUGAUGGGCCAUUACUGGUUCCUCGAGUAAAAGUGGCAGAAGAUGGUUCCAUUAUUUUGGAUGAAGAAAGUUUAACUGUAGAAGUUUUAAGAACAAAAGGCCCUUGUGUUGUUGAAGAAAAUGACCCCAUAUUUGAGCGCGGUUCUACAACUACAUACUCCAGCUUUAGGAAAAACUAUUACUCUAAACCAUGGUCAAAUAAAGAAACAGAUAUGUUUUUUUUAGCCAUCAGCAUGGUAGGAACUGACUUUUCUAUGAUCGGACAACUUUUUCCUCACAGAGCAAGGAUAGAAAUUAAGAAUAAAUUUAAACGGGAAGAGAAAACAAAUGGAUGGAGAAUAGACAAAGCAUUCCAGGAAAAGCGCCCUUUUGACUUCGAUUUUUUUGCUCAUUUGCUUCAGAAAGUUCUUGCUGAAGAAGAGAAAAGAAAACAAAAAUCUGUUAAAAAUCAAAGUUUAAAGGAGAAGAAAUCCACCAAACCACGGAAAAAUGUAAAAGUGAAAAAAGUUGCCUGUGAAGCCGUGAAUAAUGAUCCAGAUGAGUCUAUGAGUUCUAGAAUUUCAGACACAGAAAGAUCUCAGAAGGAUGCUCAGACAGUUGAAGAAGAGUCUCUGACCUUAUCAAGGGAGGAUGCAGAGCAGGUUGCAUUAGAAGUAGACCUAAAUCAAAAGAAAAGAAGGAGGAAGAAGCAAGAUGGAGCUAAUGAACUGGGAGUAAACAAUCUUUUAGAAAAUGCCACUGUUCAGGCGGGUCCUUCUAGAGGAGAAAAACACAAGAAUAAAUGUCAGGCUAUAAGGCCUGAGCUAAAGGAAGGUGAAUGCAGUAAGGAGCAGAUGCUUUCCUGCACACAAAACAUAGAUGGCAUUGUGGGUUUUGCCUCCACUGAAAAAGUUGAGAAAAGAACUGACCCCAUCCUUUCAUUAAGUAAUCAACAAGAUGCCACAUCAGUAGCAACUGAGUCUUCAGAAUCAAGCACUUCAGAUUUGCCUUCAUUCGAAGUUGGAAUUAGAGCAUUGUGUGAGGUGAAUAAUGCUGAGGGUAGUUGUAUAGAAGAAAGAAAUGUUGACCUAAAAAAUAAUUCACUGGAAAUUGAUCAAACAGAAAAUGUUAAACCAAUGUUGAGAGGUCGCUUCCAGAGACCUAAACCCAAUUUGUCAAGGGCUGGGAAGAAAUCAGUUCUUUCACAAGGCAAAACAGAGUCAGAGAGCAAGAAUUCACAUUCAAAAACUUCAGUUGAAAAGAACCACGUGGAAAAAGAUAAAAUGAAUACAUUGGACAUUUUGAGAAUGGAGACUGCAGAGAGAGAGAAUCCAGAAGCUGAAACUGUAUCUGUUUUGGGUGAAAAAAAUUGUCUGCAGGAAGGGAGUCAACUAAAGGCUUUAAGACCUGCACAAGUGAGGGGCCGAUUGCAAAAGCCAAAGCCAAAUGCAGGUAAAGCUGCCGAAAGAAAAGAAAUUCUCAUAUCACAGGAAGAAAUUGGGGCCAAUGUAGAGAAGAAUGAAAAUGAAUCCUGUGCUGAUAGAGAUACUCCUCAACACAUGGAAGAUCAAUCACGUAAAGAUUUUGAAGAGGAAGAUGUCAUAUUACAGCCUGAGAAAAAUGAUUCUUUUCAAAAUGUGCAGCCAGAUGAGCCCAAGGUUCUUAAUGAAUGUCUAAGCGUUCAAGAGAAUAAUAAGGCAAAUAAACUUAACCAAGUCCCAAUUCUAAGGACUCGAUUUCAGAAACCAAAGCCAAAUAUAGGAAGAGGAACUGGAAGGAGAGAAAUUUCCUCAAAGGAAGAGGUACUAGAGAAGAUUCUUGUCUCUGGGGAAAUGGUGGCAGCAUUGAGAGAAACCGUAAGACUAGACACCUCACCAAAGGAGAUGGUACCAGCAGAGAUUAAUACUAAAGAAAUGCAGUCAGAUUUAAAAGAAACUGGAAGAAGAGCCAUUUCUCCCAGGGAGAAGAUUCUAGAUGUGAUUGAUGUCACCAUGGAAAUGGAGACAGGUCUGAAAGCAAUGGGAAGAGAGAUUUGUCUAAGGGAGAAGACGCCAGAGGUGGUUGAUGCCACUGAGGAAAUAGACAAAGAUUUGGAAGAAGCUGGAAGAAGAGAAAUAUCCCCACAGAAAAAUGGCCCAGAGGAGGUUAAGCCUCUAGGUGAAAUGGAGACAGAUUUGAAAGCAACUGGAAAUGAGAGUUCCCCAAGGGAGAAGACACCAGAGAUGACUGAUGCCACUGAGGAAAUAGACAAAAAUUUGGAAGAAACUGGAAGAAGAAAAAUAUCCCCAAGGGAAAAUGGCCCAGAGGAGGUCAAGCCUGUAGAUGAAAUGGAGACAGAUUUGAACGCAACUGGAAGAGAGAGUUCUCCAAGGGAGAAGACACCAGAGGUGAUUGAUGCUACUGAGGAAAUAGAUUUGGAAGAAACUGAAAGAGAAGUAUCCCCACAGGAAAAUGGACUAGAGGAGGUCAAGCCUCUAGGUGAAAUGGAGACGGAUUUGAAAGCAACUGGAAGAGAGAGUUCCCCAAGGGGGAAGACACCAGAGGUGAUUGAUGCCAUUGAGGAAAUAGAGAUAGAUUUGGAAGAAACUGAAAGAGAAAUAUCCCCACAGGAAAAUGGCCUAGAGGAGGUUAAGCCUCUAGGUGAAAUGCAAACAGAUUUGAAAGCAACCGGAAGGGAGAUUUCCCCAAGGGAGAAGACACCAGAGGUGAUUGAUGCCACUGAGGAAAUAGACAAAGAUCUGGAAGAAACUGGAAGAAGAGAAAUAUCCCCAGAGGAAAAUGGCCCAGAGGGGGUCAAGCCUGUAGAUGAAAUGGAGACAGACUUGAAAGCAACUGGAAGAGAGAGUUCCCCAAGGGAGAAGACACGAGAGGUGAUUGAUGCUGCUGAGGUAAUAGAGACAGAUUUGGAAGAAACUGAAAGAGAAAUAUCGCCACAGGAAAAUGGCCCAGAGGAGGUCAAGCCUGUAGGUAAAAUGGAGACAGAUUUGAAAGAAAUUAGAGAAGAAAUUUCCCAAAGGGAAAAGGUGCUAGCAGAGAUCAGUGCUAUAAGGGAAAAGGAGAUUGAUUUGAAAGAAACUGGAAAAAGAGACAUUCCCAUGAUGGAGAAAGUAUCAGGAAAGAUGGCUGUUGUUGAAGAAAUGGAGGCAGAUUUGAAAGAAACUGGAAAAGAAAAUUUUAGAGAGAGAGGAUCUGAAGAGAUCUGUGUUACUGAGGAAAAGGUGGCAGAAUUGAAACAAACUGGAAAAACAGACAUUUCUCCAAGGGAAAACGAGCUAGAGGAGACCAGUACCUCAAGACAAACUGACACACAUUUAAUGCAGAGCGGUAGCAAUGACUGCAGUGCUAUGCCUUCACUAGAUAUUCAAAACAUUAGCAGUGAAGUACUGUCGAUGAUGCAUACACCUGUAGAAGAAAAAAGAAAUUCUGAAAAAGAAGUAUCAAGUCACUUCAGUCAUUUCAAGAUUUCUUCACAGACUCAUGAAUCUGAUAAAACAGAAGUCCAGGGGAUUCAAUCUCCAGAUGUUCCAGAGCAGUUUUCAGAUAUUAAUUUAAGCAAAUCUCUUCCUCAAGAACAGAAGCCACUUGAAAUUAAACCAGCACCUUUUGUGAGGAGCCGAUUCAAAAGACCAAAACCAAACUUAGCAAGAGCAGCUUUGAAGAGAGAGACUACAGAAUCAGAAAAAUAUAUAUAUGAGAAGAAAUCAGAAACCAAGAAAAUGGAGACUAUUGUGAUGCAAGAAAAUAAUGAACAAACCGAAACUCUCCCUUCUCAACAUGAUGAAGCUUCCCUAAUGAUAUCAAGAGAAAAAGACACAUCAGGUCACAGGAAUGAGGAGGCUGUGAUAUUGCCAUGUACACAGACUGAAAGGAACCUUUCACCUUCAAAUUCUUGUGAACCUAAAGAGGAGUCUCAGUCAGCACCAGUCCAGAAAAAUGACUCAGUUGUUUCUGUGGGGACUAAUAAUAUAAACACUUUCCAGCAAGAAAUGAAGGAAAGUGUUAUCCAAACUGCUCGACAAGUAAAGGGCCGACUUCAGAGACCGAGACCAAAUAUAAGAAAGACAGGACAGAGGCAAAUAGUAGACAAAGGUGAAGCCAAAGGCAUAAUUAAGGAAGGAAGAACGAUAUUAUCAAAAGAUGAAACCGAAAAGAAAGUCUUAACUGUGUCAGAUUCUCAAAUUGAAACUGAAAUUGAAGUUCCAUCCUCCGCAGUUCCAGAACACAGAAUGUAUGAAAAUCAAAGUCAGGUGGUUCUUGUAGAAAACCUUCAUGUUAACAAAACAAAUGAAACAAUCAGACAUGAAAAUAAACCGUAUGUUCCUAGUUCAGCACAAAUGACAAGAAGGAAAUUCCAAAAGGCUAAGCCAAAUUUGGGAAGAGCACACAGUAAGAAAGAGGAACCAGUUUUAGAAAAAGGCACAACAGAUCAGAGCAAGGAAGGCAAGCCAGAAGAUCAUUUGCUGCAGAAAGGAGCUUCCAACACCCAGCUCCUUCUAAAAGAAAAAGCUGAGCUUCUGACAUCUCUGGAGGUUUCAGCAAGAAAAGAUUGUGUAGGUUCCAAAGAGUCUGCUUUGGCAAAAAUAGAUGCGGAAUUAGAAGAAGUUGGACCAUCAAGAAGGGUUGGAGAGGAAACUGUAGGAGAUAAUUCACCAUCUUCAGUUGUUGAAGAGCAAUAUCUCAAUGAACUAGCAAGCUGUCCACAACCGUUAAAAGAAACAAGUUACUCUAAAAUUGCCCUGGAUGGGAAAACAACUAUCUCUUCUACAUCUGAGUAUGAGAGAAAUCGUGGUGAAAGGAGAAGUCAUAAAAAGAUCAAACCAAAUGUCACCAGAGGUCGUGGAUCAAAACGAGUUCGGGGUAAGACCCCUAAGAAGGAACCUAGAGCUUCCAAGGCCAUGCUGGUGACUCUUCGGGCUUCCCAGGAAGAAGAAGAUGAUGCUGACGAUUUUGAGUCUGACUAUGAAGAAGAAAGCUAUCAUCUUGCUCCCGAAGAAGUAAACAAAGCUCCAGUAUUUGUACCUGUUGGUCUCAGAUCUCCUGAACCUGUUUCUGCUCAGAUUGAGGAAACAAUGGAAGAGCUUGAAAUAACUGUGAAUGUCCCAGAUGUAGGAUGCAUAGCUGUUGUUGAACAUGAGCUACCAAACACAGAUGUGACUACUGAAGAAAUGAAACAAGAAGAAAAUUUGAGUGCACCGUUUGAAAUGACCACAAGUGAACAUAUCCAAGAUGAACCAGGUACCAAUGAUGGAAGCACCGAAGCUGCAAUAACUUUACUUACAAUGGGAGAUCUAGUAUUGCAGUCAGAGAUCAGUAGUGAACAGGGUGAUGUAGGAGUAUGUAUACUUCCUCAUGUUCAUUCAAAGGAUAAAAGCCAUAUUCCUUCUAGCCUAGAUAAUGUAAAUCACAAAAUUGUUCAUGAAUGUCAGGAACUUUCUUCACCUGUCAUUACUACAUCUCCUGCAUCAUUUGAAGAAAACAAGAUUGUAUUGGAGGAACAAAGUUCCAAAGAAGAAAUAAGUUUAAUGGAGAAAGUAAAGGAGAAUGCUACACCAACCAGGAAUACAAUUUCUAAAGUGACCAGUAAUUUGAGAAUAAGAAGUAGGCUUGCUAGGCCUAAACCAAAUCUUGAGAAGACUUUAGGGACCAACAGACUUGAUGAUUAUCAGAAAGUUUCCAGUUUGUGUGUAACCAAAGGGGCAGAAAUGGAAACUCAAAGAGAAACAGAGAAAAAUGCUUCCAAAGCAACAGAAUUGGAAAAUAAAAACCUCGGACCAGUUACAACAGCAGAGAAUAAGGAUCAGAGCAAAUUGGCAUGUGUACAUGGUAUCAAAGGGACCAGUAUUUCUUCAGAAGUAAACCUAACUGAAAGAAACGAAAAUCAAGAAGAGAGCUCUCAGGAGGUUCACAUGUUGUCAGUUGCUCCAGUUGCUUCCUCUGAGACAGGGCCCUGCACACUUGGUUUGGAUAGGGGUCUUGGUGAAAAUUCUGUUGAAGAGCCCCAGAUAAAGGACUCUAAAGGAGACAGUGUGCUUACACUUCCUGUGCCAGAGGUAAAAGAAUGUACAGUAUAAUAAGGGAUAGCAAGGUGUUUUCCUCCAUUAAAAAAAAAAAAAGGUAUAAUUUACAUACAAUAAACUUCACCUCUUUUAUCUUCAUUUUUCUUUAUUUCUUUUUUUUUUUUUUGGAGACAGUCUUGUUCUGUUGCCCAGGCAAGAGUGCAGUGGUAUGAUCUCAGCUCACUGCAACCUCUGCCACCCAGAUUCAACAGAUUCUCCUGCCUCAGCCUGCCAAGUAGCUGGGACUACAGGCA